AUGCUUGGAUUGGAGCCAGCAAGUUGCCAGAUUCACCUAAAAUCAAGAUAGUCCCUAUUUUACCUUUAUUUCUGUCAUCCUCCAUCCCACCAGCCAUAUCCCUUUUGUUUUGCUGGCUCCAUCUCUGAUGGCUGUCAUCGGAGCCAUGGCGUUGCCACCAGCAAGAGUCACCAUGGGCGGCUAGCCCAAUCAUCCAUGGUCAUA
RNAcentral lists this long non-coding RNA (204 nucleotides) under Elaeis guineensis (African oil palm). RNAcentral describes it as "long non-coding RNA (EGUI_LNC054542)". The record is from RNAcentral. Lineage: Eukaryota; Viridiplantae; Streptophyta; Magnoliopsida; Arecales; Arecaceae.